UGGGCUGGGACUCAGUGGUAGAGUGCCUGCCUUGCACACAUGAGGCACUGGGUUCGAUCCUCAGCACCAUAU
This 72-nucleotide transfer RNA is filed under the name Marmota monax (woodchuck). It matches the Rfam family "tRNA". From Rfam's summary of the family: Transfer RNA (tRNA) molecules are approximately 80 nucleotides in length. Their secondary structure includes four short double-helical elements and three loops (D, anti-codon, and T loops). Lineage: Eukaryota; Metazoa; Chordata; Mammalia; Rodentia; Sciuridae. The record is from Rfam by way of RNAcentral.